RNAcentral lists this ribosomal RNA (1438 nucleotides) under uncultured organism. RNAcentral's name for it is "SSU rRNA". It matches the Rfam family "Bacterial small subunit ribosomal RNA". The record is from RNAcentral.
GGCUCAGGAUGAACGCUAGCUACAGGCUUAACACAUGCAAGUCGAGGGGCAGCAUGGUCUUAGCUUGCUAAGGCCGAUGGCGACCGGCGCACGGGUGAGUAACGCGUAUCCAACCUGCCUUACACUCUUGGACAGCCUUCUGAAAGGGAGAUUAAUACAAGAUGUUAUCAUGAGUAAGCAUUUUCGCAUGAUUAAAGGUUUACCGGUGUAAGAUGGGGAUGCGUUCCAUUAGAUAGUAGGCGGGGUAACGGCCCACCUAGUCUUCGAUGGAUAGGGGUUCUGAGAGGAAGGUCCCCCACAUUGGAACUGAGACACGGUCCAAACUCCUACGGGAGGCAGCAGUGAGGAAUAUUGGUCAAUGGACGAGAGUCUGAACCAGCCAAGUAGCGUGAAGGAUGAAGGUUCUAUGGAUUGUAAACUUCUUUUAUACGGGAAUAAACGGAUCCACGUGUGGAUUUUUGCAUGUACCGUAUGAAUAAGGAUCGGCUAACUCCGUGCCAGCAGCCGCGGUAAUACGGAGGAUCCGAGCGUUAUCCGGAUUUAUUGGGUUUAAAGGGAGCGUAGAUGGGUUGUUAAGUCAGUUGUGAAAGUUUGCGGCUCAACCGUAAAAUUGCAAUUGAUACUGGCAGUCUUGAGUACAGUUGAGGUAGGCGGAAUUCGUGGUGUAGCGGUGAAAUGCUUAGAUAUCACGAAGAACUCCGAUUGCGAAGGCAGCUUACUAACCUGUAACUGACAUUGAUGCUCGAAAGUGUGGGUAUCAAACAGGAUUAGAUACCCUGGUAGUCCACACGGUAAACGAUGAAUACUCGCUGUAGGCGAUAUACAGUCUGCGGCCAAGCGAAAGCAUUAAGUAUUCCACCUGGGGAGUACGCCGGCAACGGUGAAACUCAAAGGAAUUGACGGGGGCCCGCACAAGCGGAGGAACAUGUGGUUUAAUUCGAUGAUACGCGAGGAACCUUACCCGGGCUUAAAUUGCAACCGAAUAUGGCGGAAACGCUAUAGCUAGCAAUAGCGGUUGUGAAGGUGCUGCAUGGUUGUCGUCAGCUCGUGCCGUGAGGUGUCGGCUUAAGUGCCAUAACGAGCGCAACCCUUGCCGAUAGUUACUAACAGGUCAUGCUGAGGACUCUGUCGGGACUGCCAUCGUAAGAUGUGAGGAAGGUGGGGAUGACGUCAAAUCAGCACGGCCCUUACGUCCGGGGCUACACACGUGUUACAAUGGGGGGUACAGAGGGCUGCUACCACGCAAGUGGAUGCCAAUCCCAAAAACCUCUCUCAGUUCGGAUUGAAGUCUGCAACCCGACUUCAUGAAGCUGGAUUCGCUAGUAAUCGCGCAUCAGCCACGGCGCGGUGAAUACGUUCCCGGGCCUUGUACACACCGCCCGUCAAGCCAUGGGAGCCGGGGGUACAAGAAGUGCGUAACCGCAAGGAGCGCCCUAGG